This 429-nucleotide ribosomal RNA is filed under the name Gemmatimonadota bacterium. Its description in RNAcentral is "Gemmatimonadetes bacterium partial 16S ribosomal RNA". It matches the Rfam family "Bacterial small subunit ribosomal RNA", at positions 355 to 776 of the family's 1533-position model. Lineage: Bacteria; Pseudomonadati; Gemmatimonadota. The record is from RNAcentral.
UAGGGAAUCUUCGGCAAUGGACGAAAGUCUGACCGAGCAACGCCGCGUGAGUGAAGAAGGGUUUCGGAUCGUAAAACUCUGUUGUUAGAGAAGAACAAGGACGUUAGUAACUGAACGUCCCCUGACGGUAUCUAACCAGAAAGCCACGGCUAACUACGUGCCAGCAGCCGCGGUAAUACGUAGGUGGCAAGCGUUGUCCGGAUUUAUUGGGCGUAAAGCGAGCGCAGGCGGUUUCUUAAGUCUGAUGUGAAAGCCCCCGGCUCAACCGGGGAGGGUAAUUGGAAACUGGGAGACUUGGGUGCAGAAGAGGAGAGUGGAAUUCCAUGUGUAGCGGUGAAAUGCGUAGAUAUAUGGAGGAAAACCAGUGGGGAAGGCGGCUCUCUGGUCUGUAACUGACGCUGAGGCUCGAAAGCGUGGGGAGCAAACAGG